CUUGGUCAUUUAGAGGAAGUAAAAGUCGUAACAAGGUCUCCGUUGGUGAACCAGCGGAGGGAUCAUUACCGAGUUUACAACUCCCAAACCCAAUGUGAACCAUACCAAACUGUUGCCUCGGCGGGGUCACGCCCCGGGUGCGUCGCAGCCCCGGAACCAGGCGCCCGCCGGAGGGACCAACCAAACUCUUUCUGUAGUCCCCUCGCGGACGUUAUUUUUACAGCUCUGAGCAAAAAUUCAAAAUGAAUCAAAACUUUCAACAACGGAUCUCUUGGUUCUGGCAUCGAUGAAGAACGCAGCGAAAUGCGAUAAGUAAUGUGAAUUGCAGAAUUCAGUGAAUCAUCGAGUCUUUGAACGCACAUUGCGCCCCCUGGUAUUCCGGGGGGCAUGCCUGUCCGAGCGUCAUUGCUGCCCUCAAGCACGGCUUGUGUGUUGGGCUCCGUCCCCCCGGGGACGGGCCCGAAAGGCAGCGGCGGCACCGAGUCCGGUCCUCGAGCGUAUGGGGCUUUGUCACCCGCUCUGUAGGCCCGGCCGGCGCCAGCCGACAACCCAUCAUCCUUUUCAGGUUGACCUCGGAUCAGGUAGGGAUACCCGCUGAACUUAAGCAUAUCAAUAAGCGGAGGA
This 624-nucleotide ribosomal RNA is filed under the name uncultured Trichocomaceae. RNAcentral describes it as "eukaryotic LSU rRNA". The stretch from base 252 to 405 matches the Rfam family "5.8S ribosomal RNA". The record is from RNAcentral. Lineage: Eukaryota; Fungi; Ascomycota; Eurotiomycetes; Eurotiales; Trichocomaceae.